GUGGGGAAUAUUGGACAAUGGGCGCAAGCCUGAUCCAGCCAUGCCGCGUGAGUGAUGAAGGCCUUAGGGUUGUAAAGCUCUUUCAGUGGGGACGAUAAUGACGGUACCCACAGAAGAAGCCCCGGCUAACUCCGUGCCAGCAGCCGCGGUAAUACGGAGGGGGCUAGCGUUGUUCGGAAUUACUGGGCGUAAAGCGCACGUAGGCGGACUGGAAAGUCAGGGGUGAAAUCCCGGGGCUCAACCCCGGAACUGCCUUUGAAACUCCCAGUCUUGAGGUCGAGAGAGGUGAGUGGAAUUCCGAGUGUAGAGGUGAAAUUCGUAGAUAUUCGGAGGAACACCAGUGGCGAAGGCGGCUCACUGGCUCGAUACUGACGCUGAGGUGCGAAAGCGUGGGGAGCAAACAGGAUUAGAUACCCGUGUAGUCC
This 425-nucleotide ribosomal RNA is filed under the name uncultured bacterium. RNAcentral's name for it is "partial 16S ribosomal RNA". It matches the Rfam family "Bacterial small subunit ribosomal RNA", at positions 354 to 796 of the family's 1533-position model. The record is from RNAcentral.